UUUAAAGGGUACGUAGGCGGUAUUGUAAGUCAGUGGUGAAAAGCUAUAGCUCAACUAUGGUCGUGCCAUUGAAACUGCAGUACUUGAGUGCGGAUGAGGUAGGCGGAAUGUGUUAUGUAGCGGUGAAAUGCAUAGAUAUAACACAGAACACCGAUUGCGAAGGCAGCUUACCAAGCCGUAACUGACGCUGAUGUACGAAAGCGUGGGUAGCGAACAGGAUUAGAUACCCUGGUAGUCCACGCCGUAAACGAUGAUAACUGGUUGUUGGCGAUACAUUGUCAGUGACUGAGCGAAAGCAUUAAGUUAUCCACCUGGGGAGUACGUCGGCAACGAUGAAACUCAAAGGAAUUGACGGGGGCCCGCACAAGCGGAGGAACAUGUGGUUUAAUUCGAUGAUACGCGAGGAACCUUACCUGGACUUAAAUGUAGAUUGCAUAGCCUAGAGAUAGACUUUUCCUUCGGGACUAUUUACAAGGUGCUGCAUGGUUGUCGUCAGCUCGUGCCGUGAGGUGUCGGGUUAAGUCCCAUAACGAGCGCAACCCCUAUCGUUAGUUGCUAACAGGUCAUGCUGAGGACUCUAGCGAGACUGCCACCGUAAGGUGCGAGGAAGGUGGGGAUGACGUCAAAUCAGCACGGCCCUUACGUCCAGGGCUACACACGUGUUACAAUGGCAGGUACAAAGGGCAGCUACACAGCGAUGUGAUGCUAAUCUCUAAAGCCUGUCUCAG
RNAcentral lists this ribosomal RNA (728 nucleotides) under uncultured Bacteroidota bacterium. RNAcentral's name for it is "bacterial SSU rRNA". It matches the Rfam family "Bacterial small subunit ribosomal RNA", at positions 559 to 1291 of the family's 1533-position model. Lineage: Bacteria; Pseudomonadati; Bacteroidota. The record is from RNAcentral.